CAUACAGGAUCAACAUGGAGUUACCACAACAUUACAACAUUUGUUACAAAAAUAACUUACAUCAGAGUGCGGAAGAUUUAUAACUCAACUUACAACAUAUGAUGGAAUAUAAACAACUAAAUUUCCAAAAGGUGUGUAGAGUAGCGGAAGCAUCCUAGGUGAAGCUUCUAAGGUAGGAGAGGUGGAUAAUUCAUGUCGCGCCCACCGACAUGACCUCCAUUAGCAGACUAAGUCAGCACCUGCAACAGGGGUUAUAAAACCCUGAGUACAAAAGUACUCAACAAGACUUACCCGAUGAGAAAAGAGGAGAACUUAGGGAUGCAGGCUUAGGGUAGACAAGGGGUGGCUGAGCAAGGAGCCAAAGUGUUUUGCGUAAAAAGCUUACUAAUAGUGCAUCCUUAUUUUCAAGUUUUACCCACGAAUUCCUCCCUCGCAGAGGCCGAGGAGUUCGAGGAUAGUCUAACUGGUUGUUCCCCACAGACGAAUCCGUGAGUUCCUAGUCCUAUCAUAAAGUAUUAUUUAUCGAUGGCCAUAGCUUCAUGUCGCUAUGAGUCCGGGAAUUGGGAUCCGAACCUCAUAAGACAUUUUCCCCCUUUCUCAUUUUAUCACUUAGUUGCAUAUUUAACUACGAUGAGGGUCGAAGGAAUUGAGUCUCCCAAUCGGGGAGCAACGACGAUUCGAAUCGCUUAGCAAUCCAGCUGGAGUUCCUAACCACCCGACAUAUGUAGAACCAAAUCUUGCAUAUAUCAACCCAAGUCAGGCUCUCCCCAAAUUUGACCAGGUUCGCGGCACCCGAGAGCACAGUACUCCACCAUCCUACAGCCGAUCUAGAUGUUUUCCGGUCAUCUCAGAUCCGUAAGGUGGGUACACACUACUCUCGCCAUCUUUCCACUCCCAGUGCGCGAGUAGCUGUUCGCGUCGAGGGAUCACAAGACUGGGCUUACCGGAGGCAAGUGGCUAGUACUAUAAAUUCUCAACCCAGCAGGCCAUCAACGGACCGGUCCUUAAUCGACACAGUUGGAGACACUACUUUAAGACUCCAUUCUUAAAGCAAGUCCACCGACCGGUCUCAAAUUGAAACAUCAUUGAUCGUAAGUGUCUCCCACAACAACCCUUCAAACUUUCUUGUUUAAAAACCUAUCUAGUAGCAGGGCUAAGCAUUGCUACGCAGUUUUAAAAUAAAACAGGUGUCAAGGGCAGGAUACAGAUAUCAAGGUAGUAAAUGCAGCAAGUAGGUUAACCCAAUUCUCAACUACCUAAUGCAGCAUUUUCAAUUCAUAAGUGAUAAAAGAUUUAAAACAUUCAAGGAGGGGUUAAUGCAUCCGGGGCUUGCCUUGGUUGCAGGGCAGAGAGGGACCCUCGGAGACUUCCCAAGUCUCGGAUCCGACUUCCUCGAACGGAGCACCGACCUCGGGGUUCGGUUCAACGGUCGCUCCUUCGGUCACGGACACUAUACGCAAAAUGAUGAAUGCUCAUGAUAUGCGUAUGACAAAUAUGUAAGAAGGACCAAAUCGAGUACAACUCGCCUUCUUGAUGCAAUACAGAAUUAUCACUAAAUAAAGUUGUUUAACAUCUUAAUGUUUUUACCCAAGAGGUUGCAUCUGUAAAAUAAAAUCUCUUUUAAUUCAUAAUUAACCUGAAUUAACUAAUUAUUAAUCUUAUUUACUUUAAUUAAUUCUUAAUUAAUUACUAAUGACAAUAAUUAAGCAUUAAGGCCAAACAAUAAUUAAAUGCCAAAGGUCAUUAAGGUCAAUGACCUCAGGUCAUCACAUAAUCCCAAAAUCACUCAAACCCUAAUUUUGAGAAUUUAACUAAUCAUUACCUAAUUAUUUUGGAAUUAUUACUAAUUAAGGGUAUAAUAAUAUUUUAUUCAAACUUCAUCCAAGUGCCACCAAAUUUUGUGUGAUGCCAGGGAAUAAUAUUCAGAGGCAUCCCACAAAUUUUGGUGAUUUUUGGACAUAUCACUAAAUUAUUGAAAUUCAUGAUAGUGUUAUUUACUAAAUAAAGGCUACCAUUUUCAUACAUAUAUAUAUUGCUAGAAAAUAAAACCUAGCAUUUUUUUUGUGUUCUACAUACUGCAUAGAACAUAUCCAAAUAUUUUCACUAUUUUCGAAUCUGCACAACUUUUCUAUAUAUAUUCAAACAUAAAUCAAAUUUGCACACAUAACCAGGACAGCAGCAUAUAUGUAACUUCAUUCAACCAUAAUUAGAGAUCCAAGCAUCCAAUAAAGGUGAUAUUAGACUUUCUGAAAAGCUUAGAUAAUUUUAUGCAACUUUGUUAUUAUCUUCGAGAACUGAUUUAAUAGAUAAGAUGGCCAAAUAGCAUGAAGAAACAUUCCUGUCCAGACCUUGGACAGAACCAGACAUUAAGCUUCAUACAUCUAUAACCAGAGUUAUAGAUCACCAAAAUUCAUGAUCCAUAACAUUUUGGAAAGCUUAUGAAAAUUACUACAAUUCAUCUUUUAUUAUGAAAGCAUGAUUCAUAAGUUUAGCAGGUUGAAAUUACACUACUACAGAAACUGAUCCAAGAUUUGACAGAGAACAACCAUUUCUGAAACUUAAAUUUAAACAGGCAUAACUCAGAAACUAUAGAGCCAAAUGCCACCAAAAUUUAACACCAGCUAGAUACAUGAAUUCUAUACAACUUUGUUAUAGACAAGUUUCACAUCCAACAUUAUCUACCUAGAGCAAUUCAUAAGGUUCCAGAAACUGUCCAGAAAUCACUAAUAAUUUAAUUAUAGACAAAUAACAUUUCAUUUAUGUUCCAAACUUGGACCUAGGAAAAACCUAGCUUACCAACAGUUGAAAUACAUCAAAGAAAUACUAGAAAACAUCAUGGCCAUCCCUAAAUAAAUUCCUUUCAUGUCUUUAUUAAUUUAUUUAGGUAAAUAGACAAAGUAAUAACCAUAUAUCAAAAGUACACGGUAAAUUCUGAGAAAACUACAGCAGCUCAUAUAUGCUCUCAAAAGUCUACUGUAUAAAUUUCAUGCCAUUUGAAUAAGUAUAGCAAUUUCCAUGAAAAAGAUAAAUUUCCAUCACAAGGAAGCAUGUAACAACAAGAUAAAUAAGAAACUCGACAUUUUCUACACACACAUAGCUAAAUUAUGUAUCUAUAUGAUAUAACAACCUCAUAUAAAGGUAGAGGAACCAUAUUUUACAUUUAUUCAUUUUUAGUUUAAUUGUAAACUAUUUAAUAAGCACUACACAAGAUAAAUCAAUAACUUAAUCAUAUGUCAUCCAAUGAAUCUAAAAACUUAACCACAGCACACACACAUAAUCAUUAGUCUACCAUAAAAGUUUCAUCUUAAAAGAAGCUAUACAGCAAUAGAUAUGAAUUUCUUCCUUUUAAGCAUAAUUAAAAGACAUAAUUCAUAACUAAUUAUUUUACUAUAAAACAUAGUCAGUUCCAUAUUUUUAAAAAAAACUAGACAUUUCAAGGAGCACAACGAAAUUUGGUUCACCAAAAUUGGAGUUACCAAGCUCCAGAUAUGAAUUUCCAAAGAUUCUAACAAAACAUCUACAAACAAGUCCUUAUAGCACUAUUCACCUGAGUCACAGUCUGUGCAAUUAGACCCCUGGAGAACUUCCAAUUGUUGCGCGUGGUCCCUGGUCGCGAACUGAAAACAGGGGAGCUCGUCGGAGAUCGCAGUUUCGGCGUUGGGGUGCUCGUCCGCAGCAGUGGAGCAGCGGGGGAGUUCACCUGGACUCACGCACACCCUAUGGUUCCCUCUACUUGGCCAGAGGCGGUCUGUGGAGGCAUGGCCACGUGAACAGCGGCACUGGCGGAGCUCCGGACGGGGCUAGGGGAAAACGUGGCGCUCCGGCCACCGGGAAGGCGAGGGGACGAGUUGGGGAGCAUCAGGGGCUCAGCACGACUUCGUCAAGCUGCUCAGAAGUGGUGGAGAAGCACGGAGGAGGGCUGGCCACGUGAAGCGCCCACGGCGGCGCUUUCAGCCGGAGCUGAGGAAGAAAGACGGCGCCCGGGCGAUUGAGAGGGGCAGGGAGGGUUCCUGGGCGUACACUGGGUUCGCAAGGAUAUGGCGAAGGUGUUGGAGAACUCGAAUUGGUCAGAGGGGUUGCGUGUAGAGGGUAAUGGAUGGUGGAGCUUCUCUGAUGCUUUUGGUCGCCGGAGCGAGUGAGCUCGAGGUCGGCCGCGCGGACGCUCAAGGGGGCGAGGCGCAGGGGUCGCGGGCGUCCACGUUGCGCGGUGACACGGCCGGCAAGCAGCUGCGUGGCGGCAAGGCGCGCGCGCGGCGCUGCCCGCUCUGCGGCCGGCGGGACAGAGGAGCCCGUGAUCCGGAUCACUGUAGCGAGCCCUAUCCAACCAAUUUUGUGGUUUUGCGAAAUUCGCCCAAAAGUUGAACUGGAGCCAAAAUUCCACCAAAACAAAAGUUCUUCAGAAUUUUGCAAGCUACAAAACUUAUUUUGGUGACCAAAGCCAAUUCUAAGUGGAACAAGAUGAAUUUGACAAAACAGUUUGAAAUUCAAAUCUCAAUUUGGGGGAAAUUCCAAUUUUUGAAUUGGAGCAGAUCAGAAUUUCCAAAAUUACUUUUGAUUUUGCAUAACAACUUGAAAAAUUUCCAACAAGAAAGUUGUUCAAAUUUUUCAGCUCUACAACUUUCAUGUUGGUCACUUUUCAAAAUUCCAAAUAGAUUUUGAAUUGGGGAUUCAAAUUGGAAAAGGGGACACUUUUUGGAAAUCUGUAUUUUCAAAAUUACUUUGAAUUUUGUAUUGAAACUUCAAAAACUCAAAACACCAAAGUUGUACAUCUUUACAAGAUCUACAACUUUGCUUUUGAACUCAACCUCAAAUUUUGUUUGGUUUUUAAAUUGUGAAAAAGGGGGCAAAUCCAGGGUUUUAAAAUCAGGGUUUUCCCCCCUAUUUUAUCGGAAACCUUCCGCCCUAGGGGUUAUACAACCAACACAAGCAUCACUUCACAACAUAAGUACACUCUACUUCCCUAAGCACAAGCAAUCAAAAUAAACUUGUUUUAAGUUGAUGCAUAAUAAUGUGCUUAACAAAUAUGCUUUGCAAUGCUUAUGAUGACAUGAUCCAGUUUUAGUGUUCGUAACAUCAGGGAUGUUACAGCCCUUCCCCCUUAAAGAAAUCUCGUCCCCGAGAUUUUCAGGGUACUAAAACCCGUGGGGUUAAGUAAUGGAAAAGUAAAUGUGUCAAGCACAUUAACUUCUGAGAAAUUCAUACAACAAUUACGAUUGGUCCGAGAAUUACAACUAAGAUCAACAAGAAGUUGUAAUCAAUCAGGAAUUUUAGAGAUUUCAUAAGAAGAUAUGAAUCUCCAAAUGAGCUUCCGAGGAGAAUGAAAGCACACUAACUGUAGAUUAUAGUGGAGCAUGACCAGAGAUCCCGAUGUUUAACGAGCACCCUGUAGUAUUUCCUUAUGGCUGCAGUCCACAGGAGACUACAAGAUUCGACGCUAUAACGUGAUCACGGAUCAUGGUACCUACUAUAGAGUACGGUUACAAUAGCUUUCAAUCAACGUAUGUUGGUUAUCCAAGUCAAGGGUUUUAGGUAAUUCCCACAAAGAUAUGGGCAUGAGUUCCCAUGAUAGGGCUCAAAGAGCGAGGGCACCUUAGUUGUGGGGCUAUAAUGGAUCAUGCCCAUAACCUCGAUACCUGCACGCGCCCAGCAGAAAUUUGUGUCAUCCGGACACACAAAAGACUCUAGGUUCCGACGCGGUACCGGGGUCACGGGACAUGGCACCAUUAUAGGGCACCACAACAAUAACCCAUGUCUCACAAUACCAAGAAUGUAACUGAGAUCAAAAGUCGAUCACAACCACAAGGCGUUUAGGGAACUCAAAAGGACAAAUUUGAAUCCCUAAGGAGUGUCCAAAGAAUGAAACACCCUAAUUGUGGACUAUAAGGGAUCAUGAUCAUAUACUUUGAUAACAAUGAGCGCCCAGCAGUAUUUCCUCAUGGUCAUGAGCCAUAGGAGACCCCAGGUUUCGACAUUGUUACCCAAGUUACAAGUCAUGGUACCUUAAGAGGACACAAUCAUAGUGUCAUUCAAUCAACACAUAUGUCAUCAAAUGACAGCAAGGAGGUAGCAUGUGUCAAGUUAGAUGAAAUCAAGGAAGGUCACAUGCAUAACAAGAGAAUCAAGUAUUAGGAUCUUAUGGAGUAAAAGAUUAUCAAUCGGUUAACGAAAGCUGGUACAUGAUGAGAUUCAUCAAUAAAACAGCUAUAAUGAAUAAUAACUGUUUUUGAAGCAUAAGGAGGGGCUUUUAAGUAUCAUUAUAUUGUCAUGUUAUGCAUGAUAUGCAAUAUGCUCGUCCUAUACAUUUUCUCAACGGCGAAAGUGCUCCAUCUUCAUCAUGUUAGUAGAUUAUAGGGCUUUAUUUAUACAGUAUCUUCAUCACUCUGGAUGGAAUGUUGCAAGACUCUUGACAAAGCAUUGUUGGAGUAGUUUGAUUCUUCACUUGGCUUGUUGAAGAAGAAUUGAAGUCCCUUUUAAUGCCUUCUAUUUGAAUCAGCAGACAGUCUUCACAGAACUUGAAUAGCAAGCAUAAGAAAAGUUAAGGAGCAUUUACAAGUUGUUGUCCUCAAAAACUUUUAAUUUGUAAAUUCCUUUUGAAGUUUUUCACAAGUAAUGUUGCAGAAGAUCCAUGUAUGAGCUCUGAUACCACUCUGUGGCAGAACCUCCUGAAUUAAGUGGCCCACAUGCACCCAUCAUUGUCUCCAAGACUUGUGAUCGGCAUGCACGAGUUCCAAAUGACUCAAGAAGUCUGUCGGGUGCCCUCGGAGGACCCCGAAUCAUCCACAUUUUAUUUCAUACAGGAUCAACAUGGAGUUACCACAACAUUACAACAUUUGUUACAAAAAUAACUUACAUCAGAGUGCGGAAGAUUUAUAACUCAACUUACAACAUAUGAUGGAAUAUAAACAACUAAAUUUCCAAAAGGUGUGUAGAGUAGCGGAAGCAUCCUAGGUGAAGCUUCUAAGGUAGGAGAGGUGGAUAAUUCAUGUCGCGCCCACCGACAUGACCUCCAUUAGCAGACUAAGUCAGCACCUGCAACAGGGGUUAUAAAACCCUGAGUACAAAAGUACUCAACAAGACUUACCCGAUGAGAAAAGAGGAGAACUUAGGGAUGCAGGCUUAGGGUAGACAAGGGGUGGCUGAGCAAGGAGCCAAAGUGUUUUGCGUAAAAAGCUUACUAAUAGUGCAUCCUUAUUUUCAAGUUUUACCCACGAAUUCCUCCCUCGCAGAGGCCGAGGAGUUCG
RNAcentral lists this long non-coding RNA (7241 nucleotides) under Sorghum bicolor (sorghum). RNAcentral's name for it is "long non-coding RNA (SBIC_LNC005918)". The record is from RNAcentral. Lineage: Eukaryota; Viridiplantae; Streptophyta; Magnoliopsida; Poales; Poaceae.